This 513-nucleotide ribosomal RNA is filed under the name uncultured bacterium. RNAcentral describes it as "bacterial SSU rRNA". It matches the Rfam family "Bacterial small subunit ribosomal RNA", at positions 15 to 518 of the family's 1533-position model. The record is from RNAcentral.
GAUCCUGGCUCAGGAUGAACGCUAGCUACAGGCUUAACACAGUGCAAGUCGAGGGGCAGCAUGAAGUUUGCUGCAAACUUGAUGGCGACCGGCGCACGGGUGAGUAACGCGUAUCCAACCUUCCCUAUACGUAGAGGAUAGCCCGGCGAAAAGUCGGAUUAAUACUCUAUGUUCUUCGUAGAAGACAUCUGAAAUGAAGCAAAGGUUUACCGGUAUAGGAUGGGGAUGCGUCUGAUUAGGUGUUGGCGGGUAACGGCCACCAAGCCUACGAUCAGUAGGGGUUCUGAGAGGAAGGUCCCCCACAUUGGAACUGAGACACGGUCCAAACUCCUACGGGAGGCAGCAGUGAGGAAUAUUGGUCAAUGGACGAGAGUCUGAACCAGCCAAGUAGCGUGCCAGGAUGACGGCCCUAUGGGUUGUAAACUGCUUUUAUACAGGGAUAAAGUGCACUACGUGUAGUGUUUUGUAGGUACUGUAUGAAUAAGGACCGGCUAAUUCCGUGCCAGCCGCUGC